RNAcentral lists this ribosomal RNA (477 nucleotides) under Neisseria sp. oral taxon 018. RNAcentral describes it as "bacterial SSU rRNA". It matches the Rfam family "Bacterial small subunit ribosomal RNA", at positions 30 to 497 of the family's 1533-position model. Lineage: Bacteria; Pseudomonadati; Pseudomonadota; Betaproteobacteria; Neisseriales; Neisseriaceae. The record is from RNAcentral.
AUUGAACGCUGGCGGCAUGCUUUACACAUGCAAGACGGACGGCAGCGGGGAGUGCUUGCACUCUGCCGGCGAGUGGCGAACGGGUGAGUAAUGCAUCGGAACGUACCGAGUAAUGGGGGAUAACUGUCCGAAAGGACAGCUAAUACCGCAUACGCCCUGAGGGGGAAAGCGGGGGAUCUUAGGACCUCGCGUUAUUCGAGCGGCCGAUGUCUGAUUAGCUAGUUGGUGGGGUAAAGGCCUACCAAGGCGACGAUCAGUAGCGGGUCUGAGAGGACGAUCCGCCACACUGGGACUGAGACACGGCCCAGACUCCUACGGGAGGCAGCAGUGGGGAAUUUUGGACAAUGGGCGCAAGCCUGAUCCAGCCAUGCCGCGUGUCUGAAGAAGGCCUUCGGGUUGUAAAGGACUUUUGUCAGGGAAGAAAAGGCGGGUGCUAAUACCAUCUGCUGAUGACGUACCUGAAGAAUAAGCACCGCA